This 76-nucleotide transfer RNA is filed under the name Deltaproteobacteria bacterium. Its description in RNAcentral is "tRNA-Ala". It matches the Rfam family "tRNA". From Rfam's summary of the family: Transfer RNA (tRNA) molecules are approximately 80 nucleotides in length. The record is from RNAcentral. Lineage: Bacteria; Pseudomonadati; Myxococcota; Myxococcia.
GGGGCUGUAGCUCAACUGGGAGAGCGCAUGAAUGGCAUUCAUGAGGUCAGGGGUUCGAUCCCCCUCAGCUCCACCA